GCGGCGAUAGCUCAGCUGGAUAGAGCAUUUGACUACGGAUCAAAGGGUCGGGAGUUCGAAUCUUCUUCGCCGCACCA
This 77-nucleotide transfer RNA is filed under the name Clostridiaceae bacterium. RNAcentral's name for it is "tRNA-Arg". It matches the Rfam family "tRNA". Rfam says of the family: Transfer RNA (tRNA) molecules are approximately 80 nucleotides in length. Their secondary structure includes four short double-helical elements and three loops (D, anti-codon, and T loops). RNAcentral also lists the same sequence under 2 other names. Lineage: Bacteria; Bacillati; Bacillota; Clostridia; Eubacteriales; Clostridiaceae. The record is from RNAcentral.